This 637-nucleotide ribosomal RNA is filed under the name uncultured bacterium. Its description in RNAcentral is "bacterial SSU rRNA". It matches the Rfam family "Bacterial small subunit ribosomal RNA", at positions 63 to 692 of the family's 1533-position model. The record is from RNAcentral.
CGAGGGGCAGCGGGGUAGUGCUUGCACUACUGCCGGCGACCGGCGCACGGGUGAGUAACACGUAUGGAACCUGCCCGCAGCAGGGGGAUAAGCGGAAGAAAUUCCGUCUAAUACCGCGUAACAACGUUGGGAGGCAUCUCCCGAUGUUUAAAGAUUUAUCGGCUGCGGAUGGCCAUGCGGCGCAUUAGCUAGUCGGCGGGGUAACGGCCCACCGAGGCGACGAUGCGUAGGGGUUCUGAGAGGAAGGUCCCCCACACUGGUACUGAGACACGGACCAGACUCCUACGGGAGGCAGCAGUGAGGAAUAUUGGUCAAUGGCCGAGAGGCUGAACCAGCCAAGUCGCGUGAGGGAAGACGGCCCUACGGGUUGUAAACCUCUUUUGUCGGGGAGCAAAGCGAACCACGUGUGGUUCAUUGAGAGUACCCGAAGAAAAAGCAUCGGCUAACUCCGUGCCAGCAGCCGCGGUAAUACGGAGGAUGCGAGCGUUAUCCGGAUUUAUUGGGUUUAAAGGGUGCGCAGGCGGAGGUGCAAGUCAGCGGUCAAAUUGCGGGGCUCAACCCCGUACUGCCGUUGAAACUGCAUCCCUUGAGUGCGCGAGAAGUAUGCGGAAUGCGUGGUGUAGCGGUGAAAUGCAUA